This 496-nucleotide ribosomal RNA is filed under the name uncultured bacterium. RNAcentral's name for it is "partial 16S ribosomal RNA". It matches the Rfam family "Bacterial small subunit ribosomal RNA", at positions 28 to 506 of the family's 1533-position model. The record is from RNAcentral.
GAUGAACGCUGGCGGCGUGCCUAAUACAUGCAAGUCGAGCGAACAGACGAGGAGCUUGCUCCUCUGACGUUAGCGGCGGACGGGUGAGUAACACGUGGAUAACCUACCUAUAAGACUGGGAUAACUUCGGGAAACCGGAGCUAAUACCGGAUAAUAUAUUGAACCGCAUGGUUCAAUAGUGAAAGACGGUUUUGCUGUCACUUAUAGAUGGAUCCGCGCCGCAUUAGCUAGUUGGUAAGGUAACGGCUUACCAAGGCAACGAUGCGUAGCCGACCUGAGGGGGGGUUCGCCCCACCGGAAACUGAGACGCGGCCCAGCCCCUGAGGGGAGGCAGCAGUGGGGAAUCUCCCGCAAUGGGCGAAAGCCUGACGGAGCAACGCCGCGGGGGUGAAGAAGGUCUUCGGACCGUAAAACUCUUUUAUUGGGGAAAAACAAAUGUGUAAGUAACUAUGCCCGUCUGGAGGUAACCUAUACAGAAAGCCCCGCCAAACCCCGG